GUUUUGCAUGCAGAGAUCAGAUCGGUCGAUUGGACAAAUAAAGCGGAAUGAUGAGUAGACGAAUAAUGAUUCUACUCGGCCAUUCGUUUCGUUAGCUUUUUAUCCGCAGCGGACACAGCCGUGACCUGUGUUUAUUUCCACAACAAAUUUCGACUAUAAAUGUCUGUUAGCGUUCUUCUAUAAAGUGUUUUCCAAAGAAAAUCUAAUGUGGUGUGAAUUAAGAGAAGGCGAAGAAUUUCGCUUGUUCGAUUGCAAGUAGCAUCAAACAGAACGAUAUGUAUUAGCCGAUGCCCCUGGAUUCAGCAUGCUGUCGGUGCACGGUCGAUCCGUUUAAUCCCGGAGCGAUGUGUCGAUAUCUAGGUGCAAGAAUGCGAUUGGUCGUCGAUACCAGUUUUUUUCUAAUUAAAUAAACGAUAAAGAACUUUAUGGAGAACCCAAGAUUGACAUUGAUUAUGCCAAA
Molecule: long non-coding RNA, 460 nt
Organism: Vespula pensylvanica (western yellowjacket)
Lineage: Eukaryota; Metazoa; Arthropoda; Insecta; Hymenoptera; Vespidae
Exons: 2
Source: RefSeq, a predicted model, not a curated record